AAAAUUAGGUCAUUAGGGUGGGCUUUAAUCCAAUAUGACUGGUGUCCUUACAAAAAUAGAAAUUUGAACACAGCCACAUACAGGAGGAAUAUGAUGUGAAGACAAAGGGAGAAGACAGCCAUCUAUAAGCUAAGGACAUGGACCUGGAACACAUCCUUCCCUCCCAGCCCUCAGACAGAACCAACUCUGUAGAUCAACCAACACCUUGACUUUCAGCCUCCAGAACUGAGUCGAUAAGGAAAAAGAUUGACAAAAGAAACUAUAAGCAAGCAUGCUGUUUUGAGUCGCCGGAGGAUAGAGACGGCCCAAGAAGAAUUUCAAGAGAACUGCUAAUGAGAAACCUUCCGUGGUGAGACUUGAACUGACAAGCUAUUCCCCCAGGCUCCUCGGGAACAUCUCAUAACUAAUCGGGACAUUCCAUCAAGACCACAUGCACAGGGCCACAGCCUAGACAGCAGAGCAUCCA
RNAcentral lists this long non-coding RNA (466 nucleotides) under Homo sapiens (human). RNAcentral describes it as "HSALNT0191113". The record is from RNAcentral. Lineage: Eukaryota; Metazoa; Chordata; Mammalia; Primates; Hominidae.